This 100-nucleotide signal recognition particle RNA is filed under the name Fictibacillus phosphorivorans. RNAcentral's name for it is "signal recognition particle sRNA small type". It matches the Rfam family "Bacterial small signal recognition particle RNA". From Rfam's summary of the family: The signal recognition particle (SRP) is a universally conserved ribonucleoprotein involved in the co-translational targeting of proteins to membranes. Archaeal SRP consists of a 7S RNA and homologues of the eukaryotic SRP19 and SRP54 proteins. In most bacteria, the SRP consists of a 4.5S RNA and the Ffh protein (a homologue of the eukaryotic SRP54 protein). Lineage: Bacteria; Bacillati; Bacillota; Bacilli; Caryophanales; Fictibacillaceae. The record is from RNAcentral.
GUCCGGGUCCUGCGCAACGGAGACCCAUGAACCCUGUCAGGUCCGGAAGGAAGCAGCAGUAAGUGGACCACUUCGUGUGCCGUGGGGCAACCUGGACUGA